GUAAAAACAGAGGAAAUUGUGCGCUUUGGAAUUCUCAAGGACUUGUAUGGUGAGCCUUAGAUCUUUGCGUUUGUAACAAGAGCACAGGCACAUAGACAUUUAUCUGUUCAGUUGCUUUGAUUUGUCCAGGCCUCUGCUUUGCUAGGGAGAAUGAAGCACACCAAAAUGGACGGAGACUAUUGACUGUGAAAGACCAUUGCUCGAUUCUGAGGCUAACAAAAGCCCAAAUUCCCUGAAGCUCAAAAGUCAUAUUGAUGUUUGUUCUUAAAGGUCAUAGAAUCCCAGCUGUUCAAAGGGAGCGUGGGACCAAAAUUCAAAGGAUCAAGUGGGAAUAAAUAAAAGGUAUGAGUGCAUGUCGCAUGAAUAAAGUAAGGUCCAGACAACCAGAAAGAAGGCGUCAGCUCUUUACUUUCUUCAUGGGCAGUGGGGCAGUCGAGCAAGGCUCUAGGAGUUGAGAGACCUUGGAAGACAUCACCCCUAACCAUUGAUGUAACACUAAAGCAGUUAUGUAUCUUUUCAUGGAAUGCUCCAUCAACGUGUCAGUCAAUCUUCUCAGUGUCCUUCCAAUUUUAGCAGGUGUGCAGCUUAAACAAAGGUUGAAAGAGUUAUUAAUCUUUGGGGUUACCUUUUACUUUCUUUCAAUAUCCCUGGUAUUGCCCUGCCUCGCAAAAAAGCUAGAUUCCUGCUUUGGUUUCAUUUUGUUUGUUUGCUUGUUUGCUUUGGGAAUAUACUGCUCCAUGUAUCAAAGUUACUGACUCCCUGGCCUCAUUUGCUGUGGUAAUCUGUUAUCUGCUAACAUUUUCUUGUUGCUCUGUGUGACAUGGCAAUGAUGUGCCAGCCAAUAUUCCUGAUUCUUUCUGUGAUCCUUAUUUUCCAGAGAAUUUUUGAAAACGCCAAAUCACAAUACCCAAGGAUGACAAUUCUUUGUUGUUUUUGUCCCCACUCUGGAAUAAAAACGUGAUAAGUAAAGGGGUGUUUUCUUAUUUUACUCAGUGUGUCUGGAGUAUCUAGAACAUAGUAGACACUCAAAAAUAUCUGGUGAUAACUUUAAAUACUUGAUUAAUUAUCAUGGAAUUUCCUAGAAAUUGGAAGAAAGAGAGACGACAUCCUACUCGUGUGCUAUAAUAACAUUCCAGCUGAUGUGAGAGGGCCAAAGGGAGCUUUAAUUCUAGGUCAAGUUGUUGGAAUUUUAUGACACUAAAGCUAUAUAAAUAUGAGAAGAUGUCAGGCAGAUCAAACUGAAGUGCAGUGGAGAACAGAGCAUUAGGCUGCUACGAAGGAAAAAACAGUUAGGUGAAUCAAACAGAAGCUUGGGGAUACUGUGUGUCCACUGCUUUUUGAGUGGAAAAACUUGACAUUGGUUUGUUCUACACUCAUUACUAGAUUGUACCAGCAACUAAGAGAGCAUGUCUGAAAUGAACCGUUAAAUGUAGUCCUCUGCAGAUUUAACACAAAUUAUAUCACUUUGAAAAGUGCUCUGACAUAACUUAGAGUUAAACAUUUGCUUCAAGUGCAGAUGCUUAUGGUAAUAAUUGACAACCUGUGCUUAGUUUAGCUGGGUGAGGUUGCUAUAUUAACUCAGGACAUCAUUGAGUUCCUG
Molecule: long non-coding RNA, 1600 nt
Filed under: Mus musculus (house mouse)
Lineage: Eukaryota; Metazoa; Chordata; Mammalia; Rodentia; Muridae
Description: long non-coding RNA chr16:26529132-26530732
Source: RNAcentral